This 466-nucleotide long non-coding RNA is filed under the name Physcomitrium patens. RNAcentral describes it as "long non-coding RNA (PPAT_LNC003007)". The record is from RNAcentral. Lineage: Eukaryota; Viridiplantae; Streptophyta; Bryopsida; Funariales; Funariaceae.
UUUGGAGCAAUAUAGUAGAGAUCUUUCAAUAGACAGCCAUUAAAUUCUUACCUACACCAGUUCUAUCAUUUUUUUUGCAUUGUAUGCAAAAGAUGGCUCCUCCUCCUUUUGAAGUGUCUCUUCCAACUCUGUACGUUUUCGACAUUCAUCUCAUGUUAGAUUCCCAUGACAUGACGCCAGGAACACAAAUGUCUACACAGUGGGACAUACACACAACCCUGAAACGGUGGGACACACACAUCUAUCUAUCUAUCUAUCUAUCUAUAUAUAUAAGAAAACCCACAGGUUUGUUCACAGUGGAAUGGACUAUACGUGAAUUCCAGUCACAUUCUUCUAGUAACCCUAAAAAUAAAAAUUUAAUCACAAGUAUUGAUAUAAGACUAAUAACUUAAAGAAAAGUAUUAGAUUUAGUGUAUUUUGCAAUCGAAUACAAUGUCAGGCCAUACUCUCCACACCCACAAAGGAA